AAAUUACUUGCAGAGGUAGUUGUCCUCAAAGGGAAACUGGUGAGUGAUUUUCCUACYUCAUAUGGAGAAGACAGAAACAUGCAAGAUCUUUGACAARGCGCUACGGCAGUCCGAARUAAAAUGGACCUCAGAACAUCGAGUGCUUUUUUAGAAAACACAGCUUCCUAAAGCCAAGAUGAAGCUCAGCUGUGUGCAACUCCAGGAGAGCCUCGCGGAGCUCCCUGUGCCCCAGGACCAGGAUGAGGUGCCAGGGCCACCUGGGAGCUCCCUGCAUCCCAGAACCAGGGCCACCCUGGCGCUCCCCGCAUCCUGCGGCUGGAGAAAGGUGCUGGGGCCACCCACUAUAGUGCUGCUGUAGUCUGCAGUUCCCAUGUGGCCCUGCUGGGAAGACUUCCAACCUGCACUACUGCCUGUCUCCARGAGCUGCCGGAAGGGUCAAGCAGAGGCAAAAUUCACACUUCACGGAAUCUGAACAUUGGUAGCUGGCCAGGAAUAUUCACAAGCUGAGAAGUUCUCAGAACUGGAUUCAGAUCUGGGCUGCUCUUCAGUCCUUCAGUACUGCCUACUAUCACUGCUUUGAGUCAGUUCCCUUUACAACUGGGUUAAUAACGUAGCAGAGUUAGGGGAAUAACAGAUGUUUUGUCAAAAUGGCAAAAAGGGAUGCAGAAAUACUUCACAAACUCCCAAAUAAUCUAAUUUAAACGGAUCUAAUUUAAAUCACAAAGAGCAGAGCAAUGUGGAUAUUUCUGUUACCGUGCAGGCAAUGCUGAAGGAUCCUCCCCAGUUUAUCUGCCARAGGACAA
Molecule: long non-coding RNA, 803 nt
Organism: Nothoprocta perdicaria
Lineage: Eukaryota; Metazoa; Chordata; Aves; Tinamiformes; Tinamidae
Exons: 2
Source: RefSeq, a predicted model, not a curated record